MAKGGAGCGGUAAUGAAAGACGGAGCAAUCUGUCACUUACGGAUGGGCCUGCGGCGCAUUAGCUAGUUGGUGAGGUAACGGCUCACCAAGGCGACGAUGCGUAGCCGACCUGAGAGGGUGAACGGCCACACUGGGACUGAGACACGGCCCAGACUCCUACGGGAGGCAGCAGUAGGGAAUCUUCCGCAAUGGGCGAAAGCCUGACGGAGCAACGCCGCGUGAGUGAUGAAGGUUUUCGGAUCGUAAAGCUCUGUUGCCAGGGAAGAACGUCGGRUAGAGUAACUGCUWCCGAGU
RNAcentral lists this ribosomal RNA (294 nucleotides) under Paenibacillus azoreducens. RNAcentral's name for it is "partial 16S ribosomal RNA". It matches the Rfam family "Bacterial small subunit ribosomal RNA", at positions 188 to 470 of the family's 1533-position model. Lineage: Bacteria; Bacillati; Bacillota; Bacilli; Caryophanales; Paenibacillaceae. The record is from RNAcentral.